AUCCAGCCGAUGAAACCCAAAUAGGACGAAACUCAAGUACUGGAU
Schistosoma mattheei is the source of this 45-nucleotide non-coding RNA. Lineage: Eukaryota; Metazoa; Platyhelminthes; Trematoda; Strigeidida; Schistosomatidae. The record is from Rfam.